UUCAUGAUAGGCCAUGCAUGCCUUCCUUACAAAUUGAACUGUUGGUUGUUUCCAUGACUACGAAAACCAGCGCUGCACCAAUGACUGAUCUUGUGUUGGGCGACACAGCCAUUUUCGCUCUCGGGGGAAUAGAAUAUUGUACUGCGGUAUUAAAACAAGGAUUKUUUUCUUGAAAUACACACAGGCAUACAGGUUGGAUAGCAAUAAUUGAUUUGAAACCAGGAUCACACUUGUCGGACCUUAACCCUGCAAGUCAAUGUGGUGAAAUCUGCUGUGCUGCCGCCCAGAAAACAGAUAUAGGGAGAGGAGCUACAUAAAACAURGCGGAUGUGUUUUCAUUCUAUCACGUAGUGUGUCUCGCUCUUCAUGUCUGGAUAGUGUGAUUGUCUGAAGUGGUGCUGCGACGAGAGACCUUCAACAUGAAUACAGGUG
This is a long non-coding RNA of Salvelinus sp. IW2-2015, 432 nucleotides long. RefSeq lists it as uncharacterized. Lineage: Eukaryota; Metazoa; Chordata; Actinopteri; Salmoniformes; Salmonidae. The record is from RefSeq and is a predicted model, not a curated record. The transcript is spliced from 3 exons.